CUAAUACAUGCAGUCGAACGCUUCUUUUUCCACCGGAGCUUGCUCCACCGGAAAAAGAGGAGUGGCGAACGGGUGAGUAACACGUGGGUAACCUGCCCAUCAGAAGGGGAUAACACUUGGAAACAGGUGCUAAUACCGUAUAACAAUCGAAACCGCAUGGUUUUGAUUUGAAAGGCGCUUUCGGGUGUCGCUGAUGGAUGGACCCGCGGUGCAUUAGCUAGUUGGUGAGGUAACGGCUCACCAAGGCGACGAUGCAUAGCCGACCUGAGAGGGUGAUCGGCCACAUUGGGACUGAGACACGGCCCAACCUCCUACGGAAGUUUUCAAUUUUUUUUUUUGGCGGGAUGCAUGAUAGUCUGACCGAGAGCCGCCGCGUGAGUGAAGAAUGUUUCUCAUCGCAAAAAUCUGUGGUGAGACAAAAAAACGCCCAAGAGAGUCACUGCUCCCCCCUUGACGCCCUCACACCAAAAUGCCACUGCUUUCUACGUGCCAGCAGCCGUGGAAAUACCUAAGUGACAUGCCUUGUCCGGACUU
Molecule: ribosomal RNA, 534 nt
Filed under: Enterococcaceae bacterium enrichment culture clone PTtcbs9
Lineage: Bacteria; Bacillati; Bacillota; Bacilli; Lactobacillales; Enterococcaceae
Description: partial 16S ribosomal RNA
Rfam family: Bacterial small subunit ribosomal RNA
Source: RNAcentral